This 75-nucleotide transfer RNA is filed under the name Chloroflexota bacterium. RNAcentral's name for it is "tRNA-Arg". It matches the Rfam family "tRNA". From Rfam's summary of the family: Transfer RNA (tRNA) molecules are approximately 80 nucleotides in length. Their secondary structure includes four short double-helical elements and three loops (D, anti-codon, and T loops). Further hydrogen bonds mediate the characteristic L-shaped molecular structure. tRNAs have two regions of fundamental functional importance: the anti-codon, which is responsible for specific mRNA codon recognition, and the 3' end, to which the tRNAs corresponding amino acid is attached (by aminoacyl-tRNA synthetases). tRNAs cope with the degeneracy of the genetic code in two manners: having more than one tRNA (with a specific anti-codon) for a particular amino acid; and 'wobble' base-pairing, i.e. permitting non-standard base-pairing at the 3rd anti-codon position. The record is from RNAcentral. RNAcentral also lists the same sequence under 1 other name. Lineage: Bacteria; Bacillati; Chloroflexota.
GCCCCCGUAGCUCAGUGGAUAGAACGCAGGCCUCCGGAGCUGGGUGCGCGCGUACGAAUCGCGCCGGGGGGGCCG